AGUGAACGCUGGCGGUAGGCCUAACACAUGCAAGUCGAACGGCAGCACAGUAAGAGCUUGCUCUUACGGGUGGCGAGUGGCGGACGGGUGAGGAAUACAUCGGAAUCUACUUUUUCGUGGGGGAUAACGUAGGGAAACUUACGCUAAUACCGCAUACGACCUACGGGUGAAAGCAGUGGAUCUUCGGACCUUGCGCGAUUGAAUGAGCCGAUGUCGGAUUAGCUAGUUGGCGGGGUAAAGGCCCACCAAGGCGACGAUCCGUAGCUGGUCUGAGAGGAUGAUAAGCCACACUGGAACUGAGACACGGUCCAGACUCCUACGGGAGGCAGCAGUGGGGAAUAUUGGACAAUGGGCGCAAGCCUGAUCCAGCCAUACCGCGUGGGUGAAGAAGGCCUUCGGGUUGUAAAGCCCUUUUGUUGGGAAAGAAAAGCAGCAGGUUAAUACCCCGCUGUUCUGACGGUACCCAAAGAAUAAGCACCGGCUAACUUCGUG
Molecule: ribosomal RNA, 492 nt
Filed under: uncultured bacterium
Lineage: Bacteria
Description: partial 16S ribosomal RNA
Rfam family: Bacterial small subunit ribosomal RNA
Source: RNAcentral